RNAcentral lists this unclassified non-coding RNA (199 nucleotides) under uncultured Cunninghamellaceae. RNAcentral describes it as "sequence contains ITS2". Lineage: Eukaryota; Fungi; Mucoromycota; Mucoromycetes; Mucorales; Cunninghamellaceae. The record is from RNAcentral.
UUUACUUCGCUUCCCCUCUUUGGGGGAUGUGAAAAAAUCACCAUUGACCUUGGUCUUGGGGCACUUUUUGGGCCUCAUUUCUCGGUUGAAAUCUGGCUAGUUUUUUCUUUAACUGGUAAUUACCUUUUGGUAGACUCUCUACAAAAAAGUUUUGCCCGAGAAAAAAGUUAGGCGAGCGUCAAGCUCCACUCUCUCAAAC